ACGGGUGAUAAUACUUAGGAAUCUACCUAGUAGUGGGGGAUAGCUCGGGGAAACUCGAAUUAAUACCGCAUACGACCUACGGGAGAAAGGGGGCAACUUGUUGCUCUCGCUAUUAGAUGAGCCUAAGUCGGAUUAGCUAGAUGGUGGGGUAAAGGCCUACCAUGGCGACGAUCUGUAGCUGGUCUGAGAGGAUGAUCAGCCACACCGGGACUGAGACACGGCCCGGACUCCUACGGGAGGCAGCAGUGGGGAAUAUUGGACAAUGGGGGCAACCCUGAUCCAGCCAUGCCGCGUGUGUGAAGAAGGCCUUUUGGUUGUAAAGCACUUUAAGCAGUGAAGAAGACUCCGUGGUUAAUACCCACGGACGAUGACAUUAGCUGCAGAAUAAGCACCGGCUAACUCUGUGCCAGCAGCCGCGGUAAUACAGAGGGUGCAAGCGUUAAUCGGAAUUACUGGGCGUAAAGCGAGCGUAGGUGGCUUGAUAAGUCAGAUGUGAAAUCCCCGGGCUUAACCUGGGAACUGCAUCUGAUACUGUUAGGCUAGAAUAGGUGAGAGGAAGGUAGAAUUCCAGGUGUAGCGGUGAAAUGCGUAGAGAUCUGGAGGAAUACCGAUGGCGAAGGCAGCCUUCUGGCAUCAUAUUGACACUGANGUUCGAAAGCGUGGGUAGCAAACAGGAUUAGAUACCCUGGUAGUCCACGCCGUAAACGAUGUCUACUAGUCGUUGGGUCCCUUGAGGACUUAGUGACGCAGCUAACGCAAUAAGUAGACCGCCUGGGGAGUACGGCCGCAGGUUAAAACUCAAAUGAAUUGACGGGGGCCCGCACAAGCGGUGGAGCAUGGGUUUAAUUCGAUGCAACGCGAAAACUUACCUGGCUUGAUAUCUAGAAUCCUGCAGAAUGCGGGAGUGUUCGGGAAUUAAUACGCUGCAUGGCGUCAGCUC
This 940-nucleotide ribosomal RNA is filed under the name Psychrobacter maritimus. Its description in RNAcentral is "bacterial SSU rRNA". It matches the Rfam family "Bacterial small subunit ribosomal RNA", at positions 102 to 1061 of the family's 1533-position model. Lineage: Bacteria; Pseudomonadati; Pseudomonadota; Gammaproteobacteria; Moraxellales; Moraxellaceae. The record is from RNAcentral.